Molecule: non-coding RNA, 3774 nt
Organism: Aegilops tauschii subsp. strangulata
Lineage: Eukaryota; Viridiplantae; Streptophyta; Magnoliopsida; Poales; Poaceae
Source: RefSeq, a predicted model, not a curated record
CGUCAGCUGCCCGACACCCGCGCAAGCGCCGCCGCCGCCCGGUCGCAACCGUUCGCUGCUCGCCCGUCCGCCGCGCCCUCGCUGCUCGCCCGUCCGCCGCCGCCGCCCGCCCGCCUGCCCCGCUGCCGGACACCGCCGACCUUGCCCCGCUGACGCCUCCCCCUCCCUUGCCGCCUCUCCUCCCUCUUACGCUUAUCUGUUCAAUGCAUGGAGGCGUCGAUCUAGACCCCAUGGACACGAUUGCCUGGAUCCACUCUCUCCCAUGCCUCCCUCCUUUGUCCAUCCCUCCUGUUAUUCCUCUCUCUUUCUAAAAAAAAUAGCGAGCUACAGCAAAAUAGCGCCGAACUCAAAAUAUGCUAUUAGCAUGUUAUAUCGUGCUAUAGCGUGCUAUUAGCAAGACAUUGUACACUGAUAUAUUUAGCGAGGCAAUUCUCAAUACCCCAUAGCGUGCUAUUAGUGACGCUAUAGCGCGCUAUUUUUCUCAGUGCUGUUUCCUCUCUGAAUUGCAGCAUGAAGGAGGCUAGGAUUGAGUGCAGGCGGGCCAUUAGGAUCAACAGCGGCAACAGAGAGUCACAUUGUGGCGGCGGUUUCUUGGCUGUAGUGAAUGCAAAUUUUGGUAGCCAAAUGAUUUACUGUUUGGCAGUGUUGUUCAUCAUUGCUGUAGCAUGGAGACUCCUUCCAGCUAUUGAGUAAACAUGUUAUCUUGCCCGGUACUUCCCUCAUGUGACUAUUCUGACCAAAUACCUUUCUUUGUGAGUUACUCUCUCUAGAUGUUUGAAAAUGGUAGAUCAAUGCAGCUUAGUAAAAGCCUGCUGAAUCUGCAGCCAGAAUUGGUAGCACACUGCAAUCUUGCAGAAGCACUACAUUAAUAAUGUAAGAUGGUAGCGGGGAUUUUACAUCAACCUAUUGGUGUGUCUGUCCAUUCUAGAGGAAUGUGCAUGAAGUGAGAAUUAUCAUGAUGGAACCACCAAGUUUGAUUUUAGUUUCUCCCACUUGAUAUUCUGCUUCAUUUUCUUCUACUCCCUCCGUUCCUAAAUGUAAGUCUUUGUAGAGAUUUCACUAUGGACAACAUACGGAUGUAUCUAGAUGCAUUUUAGAGUAUAGAUUCACUCAUUUUGCUCCGUAUGUGGUCCAUAGUGGAAUCUCUCCAAAGACUUAUAUUUAGUAACGGAGGAAGUAUUUUUUAGUACAAGUACUAUGCCUCUCCUGUGCAGUAGUUUAGGUGGAAGUGAUGUAAAUGGUGAUGCCGCUGCUCAAAUCCAGACGCUGAAGAAUGCAUAUAUAUUGCGUGGUUUGACGUCGGAGCACCUUUGGAGCCUUGGAGGAAGAAGUUCACCUUAAGCCAUCGGAGUGAAGUUCUCAUUGCCAUAACCAGCUUUCACAGGGAAGCAUAAGGUGAUCCGUGAUCUUCACGUAGUAUGUAGACUCUGGAGGAACUAAUAUAUCUUUUUUCAAAGGGACAUAGGCCGAUCUUUAUUAGAUACUCCCUCUGUUCGGAAUUAUUUGUCGCGAAAAUGGAUGUAUCUAGAACUAAAAUACGUCUAGAUACAUCCAUUUCUGCGACAAAUGGAUGUAUCUAGAACUAAAAUACGUCUAGGUACAUCCAUUUCUGCGACAAGUAAUUCCGAACGGAUGGAGUAGAAGAGAGGGUACAACCGAACCGCCAACAGUCUAGGCGAUCUAGAGCCGAUGGCUCACUCCCAAGGACAAAACAGCCACUCCAACCCAGAGGGCAGAAAAACAAAAGACAGACUCAAGCAGAGAGCUCUACGACACAACCAGCUGCUCUCCACACAGCAAUAUCCUCACGGAUCAGAUCAAGGACUCUGUUGGCGCUGCUGGCAAUGUGCUGAAAAAUCCUUGCAUUCCGCUCCUUCCAGAUCCUCCAAUGUACCAGGAUAGCAAUGGUGUCGAAAUUGCGCCUGUCCUUCUUGGGGAUUCUUUUUCUUGCCGACAGCCACCACUCCUCCGUGGUACUCCAAGUGUCAUCAGGAAUGGAGAAGUGCUCUCCCGUCCAUUGCCUGAAGAUGCUCCAUAGGUGCUGCGUAUAUCUGCAAUGCACAAAAAAGAUGUGUGCAGUCCUCCGGUUCCGCCAAGCACAGGGGGCAAGUAGUGUUGGACGGCCAACCUCGCCGCAGCAGAUUGUCUGCCAUGAGGCAGCGCCUAUGCACAACGAGCCACAAGAAGAACCGACAGCGAGGCGGUGCCUUUGACUUCCAAAUUGGUUUGUAGCACGGAAAACGAAUCGCAGCCAUGAAGAACAUCCGGUAUGCACUGCUAACAGAGAAGCACUGGUUAUCCGUCAGCCUCCAAAUCAAACGAUCAGUAGCCUCAGGUGUCAGGAGGAACUAAUAUAUCUCUUAUGUAGAAUUUGUCUGUAGAUUUUUUGAGAAUUUGUCACAUUCAAAACUACAUUACCUGACUAACUUAUUUUUUGCUGGAUCAUACCAUGAGUUACAGUUCACAUGCACUGUAGCUUCGUGAAGGAAAGAAAUAGGAUAAAUUUUCUAGCCUUAUAUUCAUUUAUUUUUACUGUUAUGUCUAAGAAUAAAAGCACUCAAGGUCUGCACCUUUCCAGUAGUUUUUUGUCUAAUAUGUUACCUUUUACACAAGUGGGACUUAUGUGAUAACUUGGCAUCUGCAUCUUUGUUGCGUCUGAAUUUAGUGGCAACAGAUUGAGGACCUUAACGUGAAUGGCAAUAGCGUGGACCAGCGGACAAGGAUGUUGUCAUGGAGUCAGGAGAAAGGCUUGUUGGAAGUAGAAUGAGGCAAUGUUGUGCUUUUUUUUCUCUUAAUUAACUUUAUAGUGAUAUGUGUUGAAAGCCUGAAAGUGCAGGCCAUACCAAGAUUAAUGAUAUCAAAAUGAUGUAACCAAUUAUCCAUCUCUUGAUUCAUUGCAGAUCUCAAAUUUGGAAAAGGCAGUAUGAAUCUUCCUCCACUGAAUGCUUGUAUUAUGACCUCGGUAUCAAUGAGUUCCUCGUUUACAAACUGGCAAUGUCAGAUGAAAAUUGUUCAAAAAGAUAAGACAAGUAUAACCUCACGUUGCAAAGGUGAGUGGCUGCUUGAUGACAAACUAACUUUGAGAUCACGUCAUGUUGCUAUUCUGAUCAAUUCUGACUAUUGAUGAUCCGUUUCUUGGUCCAGUACUUUCGCAAUUCUCAGCUUUAUAUAGUUUUUUUUUCGAGUCUUUAUCCGUGUGGUACCCCUGCCAUGGCGAAUGUGCAUCCCAUGCUGUGCCAGAAAUAGAUGGAAGUUGCAAUUCUUAAUGCACAUUAAAAGAAAACUAAGGUCAUGUACAUUUUUUUGUUCCACUGUCUCAAUCAUUUGUGUUUUCAAAGCGCAGAUGGGCAAGAAUAUUCGAGAUGCACAUCGGUUUGCAUUGGGGGAACGCUCCCCGUUAAAGGACGUAACAAACUCACCUCUAAAUGGAAAUGCAGAGAGUAGUUCUGCUGCUCAAUUCCAAAAGAUAUUCCAAAUUUGAAAAAUGUUCAUGGAUUUUAAAAUUUCAUGAAUUAGAAUACAUUUUUACAAAUUUUAGAAUUUUUUCAUGAAUUUAACAAGAUCAAGAAUUUGAAAAUGGUUCCCGAAAUUUAAGAAGUGUUCCUGAACUUUCUGCCAAAUGUUUGCGAGGUUUUUUACGGUACCCUGGUACUCCUUAUGUAGGGGUGGGAGUACGGGUUAAAUCCAACCCUUGGUUUAAAAGGGUAGUUUGGGUAAUGUUUAUUUAAUUUAUGAUCUACUCCCUCCGUUCCUAAAUAUUUGUCUUUCUAGCCA